AACAUCCUCUUUUCCACUUCAUACGACCUUUCUCAUAUACCCAUUCAAAUCUCAUCCCAUUCUUCUAAUCAAGAUCACGCAUAGCAAUUAAUAUUUACGAUUUCCAAUUCAACAUUCAUGGAUCAGCCGUCUUCUUCAUCAAUUUUACUUCAAAUUUAAAUUUUUCUCAUGAUUUGUAUCUGUUUCCCAGGGACAAUUUGAUUUCUGAAUGACAAUGAUCUUUAAUGCAGAUUACAUGAUAUAGGCAAAGGGAAUGCUUUUCACGGUUUAUAGGAAGAUGUAGAUUCUUCAAAUAAAUGUAUUGGAACCAACCAUCCUCAUGUUAAGAGGCGAAAGAAAUUGCCAGUCCCUGUGGAGAAAGAGAAAGGUGUUGGUCUUUGGUCAAUGAUCAAGGAUAAUAUAGGGAAAUAUCUAACAAAGGUUUGCUUGCCUGUUUACUUUAAUGAGCCUCUCUCCUCCCUGCAAUUUUUUUUUGAAGAAAUGGAGUAUUCAUAUCUGCUGGACCAAGCAUAUGAAUGGGGAAAAAGGGUGAUAGCCUCAUGAGAAUUCUCUAUGUCGCUGCUUUUGCUGUAUCUGCCUAUGCUUCAACAGAAGGAAGAAUUUGCAGACCCUUUAAUACAUUACUUGGGGAAACAUAUGAAGCUAACUAUCUAGAUAAAGGCCUUUGUUUUUUCUCGGAGAAGGUGUAUAAUCUAAUCCUGCAUAAUGAUAUUACUUAAAUGUGAACUCAUCAUUCUUCUUGCUUCAUUUAUGUUUUGAACAAGCAAGCAUGUCCCAAUUGACUAUUUAAGUUUGAUAUAGUUAUGAAUCCAAAUUUUUAUUUAAGUUCAAGAGCUUAGUUUUAAUUCAUGUUCAAAUUGAAUGAUUGCAUUUAAAAUUACUUUUGUUUAUAGCGUUUUGUUAUUGAUUAAGUUAUGUAAAGGUUCAAAUCCUUCUUUAAGCUCAAACUUAUGUGAAGAUUAAGUUAAAAUUAAUUAUGUCAAAUACUACUUAACUCUACAGUUAAAUAAAUUAGUUACAAUUUGGGCCCAAUUUUAUAAUAACCAGAGCUUAGGAAUGUGAGCUGCAUGUUGCAUGUGAAAAAAAAGCCAUUGAAUCUUCUUUUAAAAAAUAUAUAUGAUAGAAACAAGAAUCUUCAAUAUGGCAGGAAACAAAUUUUGUGGCGUAUUUAGUUGAUAUUUGAUAGAGAUCGAGGUGAAAAGAUUCAUCGGGAUAAUGGUGCAGUUAUGCUAUCGCAUUAUACAAGUUUAUGAUACAUAUGACACAACUACAAAAAAAUGACCACAUGAAUUCUUGGAACUUAUGUUGUUAACAUGCCUUGCUUGGACAAUGCAGUAUUCUUACAAUUCAGCGGAGCACUGGUUCGUAUUUAAAGUGAAUUAGGUUUGCUUUGGCUUAGGUAGCGGUGAAGCUGAAUUUUACGUUGUAAGCUCAGGAUGCCGAGAUUUAGGCUAAGGUUGGAGCAAGGGUCGGUGUUGAAGCCAACUCUAAAUAGCUAAUUCUCAAUAUGAGAUGUUUGAUAUUGGGUGUGGAUCAUAUGCUCACUAGUUAGAAGUAAGAGAUCUUCAUUGCAAAUUAUAGUCGAGACUCAUGCCAGCAAGAGAUCAUUCGGCCUAAAGUAGUGCAGAAGUUAAGGUGUAGCUUUGUCGAGAAGGAGUGGCGGUCUCUACAGGCCGUUGUUUAAUUAUUGCAGAAGUAGAAUUUGUGAACCUAUUGACAGGUUGAUGCAGAAACAGGUCAAUGUUUCAUGUUGGAAUUUCUCGGUGUAGUGGUGCAUUGGAAUCCUUUAUUUAUCGAGUCACUCAUAUUUUUAGGUUGAAUGGCCUGUAUCAAUAUAGUGUAUUCAUAAUUUAUGGUAUCGGAUUUGGUAGUGGUCGAGAUGGAAAAUGGCUUAUCGUUUCAGGGAUUGUUAAGAUUAGCUAGUUUUAAUCAUUGGAUUAAAUUAGUUAAUACACAUAGCUGAUAAGGCUUUGGUUAGUUAGUUGGUCAUUGGUUAGUUGGUUAGAUAACUUCCAAUCUGAUUGGUUGUUAUAUGAUAGGAAUAUACUAUAUAUGGAUUAUAUCACCACUUGUACCAAUCAAUAAACAUAUAUUCCAUUAUUCUGGAAUCUCUUUUCCCCUUUCUAUUCUGUUUUCUCUCUUUUCCAAUGGUGAAACUUCUUCACCUUAAUAUGGUAUCAUUCGCCAAUUCGAUCCUUAUUCCGCUGCCAUCUAACUGAUUUCUUCUUCUUCUUUCCUUUUCUUCGUCUGCUCUUUACUCUGCAUCCAUGGCACCUCCUCGCACUCCACCACUCGAUCCAGUCUUGGAUCAUUCUUCUCCUUACUUCGUUCACCCCAGCGAUGGUCCCGGUUCUGUUACAGUUGUUCCGAAACUCACUGGUUCCAAUUAUCAUUCAUGGGCUCGAAGCAUGAAGAGGGCUCUUGGGGGUAAAAUGAAGAUUGAGUUCAUCGAUGGAUCUCUUCCCGUUCCUACUGAUUCGUUUGAUCCUUCUUUGCGUGCUUGGAAUCGUUGCAAUAUGUUGGUACAUUCUUGGAUCAUGAACUCGGUUUCAGAUUCAAUAUCUCAGUUUAUAGUUUUCAUGGAAAAUGCGCUUGAUGUAUGGAAUGAUUUGAAAGAAAGAUUUUCUCAGGGCGAUCUCAUUCGUAU
Molecule: long non-coding RNA, 2647 nt
Organism: Vicia villosa (hairy vetch)
Lineage: Eukaryota; Viridiplantae; Streptophyta; Magnoliopsida; Fabales; Fabaceae
Exons: 4
Source: RefSeq, a predicted model, not a curated record